CCAAAGAGUGAUCCUGGACUGACUGCAGGAAGAUCAUUGAUACCUAUGGAGGUUGGGGAUCCCAUGGUGGAGGUGCAUUCUGUGGAAAAGAUCCCUUCAAAGUUGAUUAUUCUGCAGCACAUGCAGCUCAGUGGAUUGCAAAAUCUUCAGUGAAAGCUGAUAUCUGUGAAAGAGUAUUAAUCCAGCUCAUUGCCAUCAGAGUGGUGGUUCCCAGACACUUUCCUUGA
Molecule: long non-coding RNA, 227 nt
Filed under: Athene cunicularia (burrowing owl)
Lineage: Eukaryota; Metazoa; Chordata; Aves; Strigiformes; Strigidae
Description: lncRNA (ENSACUG00000014856.1)
Source: RNAcentral